Molecule: ribosomal RNA, 507 nt
Filed under: uncultured bacterium
Lineage: Bacteria
Description: bacterial SSU rRNA
Rfam family: Bacterial small subunit ribosomal RNA
Source: RNAcentral
UAGUCCACGCCCUAAACGAUGGAUACUAGGUGUCCGGGAUAUUAACCUCCUGGGUACUACAGUUAACGCGUUAAGUAUCCCGCCUGGGGAGUACGGUCGCAAGGCUAAAACUCAAAGGAAUUGACGGGGGCCCGCACAAGCGGUGGAGUAUGUGGUUUAAUUCGAUGAUACGCGAGGAACCUUACCUAGGCUCGAACGCUAUUUGACAGUUGCUGAAAGGCAAUUUCUCUUCGGAGCAGAUAGUGAGGUGCUGCAUGGUUGUCGUCAGCUCGUGCCGUGAGGUGUUGGGUUAAGUCCCGCAACGAGCGCAACCCUUAUUCUUAGUUGCCAGCACAUAAUGGUGGGGACUCUAGGAAGACUGCCGGCGUAAGCCGUGAGGAAGGUGGGGACGACGUCAAAUCAUCAUGGCCUUUAUGCCUAGGGCUACACACGUGCUACAAUGGUGCAUACAGCGGGUAGCGAAAUCGCGAGGUGGAGCUAAUCUUGUAAAGUGCAUCCCAGUUCGGA